RNAcentral lists this ribosomal RNA (445 nucleotides) under uncultured bacterium. RNAcentral describes it as "partial 16S ribosomal RNA". It matches the Rfam family "Bacterial small subunit ribosomal RNA", at positions 354 to 796 of the family's 1533-position model. The record is from RNAcentral.
GUGAGGAAUAUUGGUCAAUGGACGGAAGUCUGAACCAGCCAUGCCGCGUGCAGGAAUAAGGUCCUAUGGAUUGUAAACUGCUUUUAUUCGGGAAUAAACCUCUUUACGUGUAGGGAGCUGAAGGUACCGAAGGAAUAAGCACCGGCUAACUCCGUGCCAGCAGCCGCGCUAAUACGGAGGGUGCAAGCGUUAUCUGGAAUCAUUUGGUUUAAAGGGUCCGCAGGAGGGCUAUCAAGUCAGAGGUGAAAUCCCACAGCUUAACUGUGGAACUGCCUUUGAAACUGAUGGUCUUCAAUUAAGUGGGCGUUAGUGGAAUAUGACAUGUAGCGGUGAAAUGCAUAGAUAUGUCAUGGAACACCGAAAGAGAAGGCAGCUAACGAUACUUAUAUUGACGCUAAUGGACGAAAGCGUGGGUAGCGAACAGGAUUAGAUACCCUAGUAGUCC